CGGACCGGGCUAUAGAACUUGGGGGUAAUUUUGUAAUUGUGCAUUUAAAGGGAUGUGAUUGGUGUGAUGACAUCGAGGGGAUGGUUCUGAGAGGUUGACGGGACGUGUUGCAGAAAGAGUGAAGGAGUAGGCGUAGGUAUUCCAGAGAGGGAAAGAGACAGGGUUGAGCGGUGAUGCUGAAUUUGGGGUAUGGGAGAAAUGGGAAUUGCAGAGAGAGGGAGGGAGGGAUGGGGUUGGGUUUGAAAGAUUUUCUCCGCCUAGGAUUGUUCGGGUAAGAUUUCGACAGCGUUGUCCCUCUUCUGAGGUCCUCCCCAACGAAGCCGUCAAUCGCCUCCUCGCUUAAGGUGAAAUUGAAGGUCAGUAGAUCUCCUAAAUUGAUGAGGGGCUACAAUUCGUGCAAGGAAAAAGCCAGAGAUAUGCUACUAUUUUGGAAGAGAAUAGAUCAAGAGAUGGUAUCCUUCCCUUCUCCUCUGGAAAUGCAUUGAGUACAAGAAGUAUAUGCAUGAAAAUAUAAAAAUGCAUGUCUUUUUAUCCUAUUGAUCUUAAAUUUAGUCCUCUCUAAUGAUGUGUAGUAGGCCUCAAAUUCAUAUCUUGAAAUAUUCAUGUCUAAAGUUCUGUAGAUCUUCUGUUUUGGGGUUUAUUUUUUUUUUGGAAGUUUUAACGAAAAGCCCACGGCACUGUUCACUUUAACGAAAAGUCAAAUUUGGUAUUCACUUUUCAUUAGUUUUCCUUUUUUUUUUCCUAUUUUAGGCCAAAUAAAAAAAUUAGUAUGAAGUCUGGAUAGUCAUUUAGAAUUUUGGUAAUAUUGAGAGUCGACGAAAAACCAUAUUUUUACACUAUAAAGUCAAAUUUGGUAUUCACUUUUCAUUAGUUUUCCUUUUUUUUUUUUCCUAUUUUAGGCCAAAUAAAAAAAUUAGUAUGAAGUCUGGAUAGUCAUUUAGAAUUUUGGUGAUAUUGAGAGUUGAUGAAGUAGGUGAUGAAGGAGGAGGGGAUGGAGAAGGUGAAGGUACUGACGGAGAAGGUGAAGGUAGUGAUCGAGAAGGUUAUGAUAUUGGUGAAUUUAAGUCUGAAGGCACUAUUACUUUGCUAAUUUGCACCGUUGAUAUAUAAUAAUUUUCAUCAGAAGCAAUAUGUCGAACUACCGCUGCUUCGUCAAAAUGAGCAGUUGAAACAAUCGAGUUUAUUUAAUUAUGAUUUUUCUUAUUAAUUUGACCAUGAAAAUUGUCAAUUAUUUUCUAAAUAUUGGAUGAAUUGAGCAGUUUGUGUUA
Molecule: non-coding RNA, 1268 nt
Organism: Malus domestica (apple)
Lineage: Eukaryota; Viridiplantae; Streptophyta; Magnoliopsida; Rosales; Rosaceae
Source: RefSeq, a predicted model, not a curated record